Molecule: ribosomal RNA, 335 nt
Filed under: uncultured Planctomycetales bacterium
Lineage: Bacteria; Pseudomonadati; Planctomycetota; Planctomycetia; Planctomycetales
Description: bacterial SSU rRNA
Rfam family: Bacterial small subunit ribosomal RNA
Source: RNAcentral
CUAAGGCUCCAGAGGAAGCCACGGCUAACUCUGUGCCAGCAGCCGCGGUAAUACAGAGGCGGCAAGCGUUGUUCGGAAUUAUUGGGCGUAAAGAGCACGUAGGCGGCCUUGCGAGUCAGUUGUGAAAGCCUUCCGCUUAACGGAAGAAUGCCAGCUGAUACUACAGGGCUUGAGUACGGGAGGGGAGAGUGGAACUUCUGGUGGAGCGGUGAAAUGCGUAGAUAUCAGAAGGAACGCCAGCGGCGAAAGCGACUCUCUGGCCCGAAACUGACGCUGAGUGUGCGAAAGCUAGGGGAGCAAACGGGAUUAGAUACCCCGGUAGUCCUAGCCGUAAA